GGAUGAAUAUUGGACAAUGGGCGCAAGCCUGAUCCAGCCAUGCCGCGUGAGUGAUGAAGGCCUUCGGGUUGUAAAGCUCUUUCAGAUGCGAAGAUAAUGACGGUAACAUCAGAAGAAGCCCCGGCUAAAUUCGUGCCAGCAGCCGCGGUAAUACGAAUGGGGCAAGCGUUGUUCGGAAUCACUGGGCUUAAAGCGUGCGUAGGCGGAUUUGCAAGUCAGAAGUGAAAUCCCAGGGCUUAACCCUGGAAUU
Molecule: ribosomal RNA, 250 nt
Filed under: uncultured bacterium
Lineage: Bacteria
Description: partial 16S ribosomal RNA
Rfam family: Bacterial small subunit ribosomal RNA
Source: RNAcentral